GGACUAUCAUGUCGGUCGUGCCUCGGUACGUACUGGUAUUGUUGGUUUCUCCCUUCUGACGAACCAUGAUGUCAUUUAUUUGGUGUUGUGGGGAAUCAGGACUUUUACUUUGAAGAAAUCGGAGUGUUUAAAGCAGGCUCACGCUUGAAUACAUUAGCAUGGAAUAACGGAAUAGGACGUUUGAUUCUAUUUUGUUGGUUUCUAGGAUCGACGUA
RNAcentral lists this ribosomal RNA (215 nucleotides) under Campeiostachys nutans. RNAcentral's name for it is "Elymus nutans partial small subunit ribosomal RNA". The stretch from base 37 to 215 matches the Rfam family "Eukaryotic small subunit ribosomal RNA", at positions 684 to 864 of the family's 1831-position model. Lineage: Eukaryota; Viridiplantae; Streptophyta; Magnoliopsida; Poales; Poaceae. The record is from RNAcentral.